Molecule: ribosomal RNA, 433 nt
Filed under: uncultured organism
Description: bacterial SSU rRNA
Rfam family: Bacterial small subunit ribosomal RNA
Source: RNAcentral
AACGAACGCUGGCGGCAUGCCUAACACAUGCAAGUCGAACGAGACCUUCGGGUCUAGUGGCGCACGGGUGCGUAACGCGUGGGAACCUGCCCUUAGGUUCGGAAUAACGCCUCGAAAGGGGUGCUAAUACCGGAUAAUGUCUUCGGACCAAAGAUUUAUCGCCUUUGGAUGGGCCCGCGUUGGAUUAGCUAGUUGGUGGGGUAAAGGCCUACCAAGGCGACGAUCCAUAGCUGGUCUUAGAGGAUGAUCAGCCACACUGGGACUGAGACACGGCCCAGACUCCUACGGGAGGCAGCAGUGGGGAAUAUUGGACAAUGGGCGAAAGCCUGAUCCAGCAAUGCCGCGUGAGUGAUGAAGGCCUUAGGGUUGUAAAGCUCUUUUACCCGGGAUGAUAAUGACAGUACCGGGAGAAUAAGCUCCGGCUAACUCCGUG